GCGCUGGAGCGAUUCGGUGGCACGUGGGGCCACGGCGUGGGAGUAGGGGGCUGAAGGCAGGCAGCAGCGGCCAGGGCCGCCCUCUGCUAGCCGCUUGGGUCUCGGAAUACCCCUCUUCUUCCUGUAGGUGUGGGACGUGCGUGCGGCGAGAUGGACACUCCCCCGCUCUCGGAUUCGGAGUCGGAAUCCGAUGAAUCCCUUGUCACAGACAGAGAGUUGCAGGAUGCGUUUUCCCGAGGGCUUCUGAAGCCAGGCCUCAAUGUCGUGCUAGAGGGGCCGAAGAAGGCCGUGAACGACGUGAAUGGCCUGAAGCAAUGUUUGGCAGAAUUCAAGCGGGAUCUGGAAUGGGUUGAAAGGCUCGAUGUGACACUGGGUCCGGUACCGGAGAUCGGUGGAUCUGAGGCGCCAGCACCUCAGAACAAGGACCAGAAAGCUGUUGAUCCAGAAGACGACUUCCAGCGAGAGAUGAGUUUGUAUGUUUGUUUUCAAAUGUUGGAGAAGUUGAGGAUCCUUGUGCAGGAGAGUGGGAAAGAGGGGAAAUUAGUAAGUCUGCACUCAGAAUAAGCCUAGGAGUAGGGAGAGCGGCUUCUUUUGACUAAGAAUAGCUAGGAGAUUCUUCCUGUUUGAGAGAAGAGCUCUUUGGUCCACGGUCACGAUCCAAAAUCCACUUUAUGGGCUAAUUUGAAAUAUUCAUGUUAAAACUUUUUGUGCAUGCUUCAGUUAUUAGGAAAACAAACAAACAAACAUUGCUUAUGGGAUGUUCUUGUGUGGAAUUGCCUUAGUAAUUACAUAAGAAUCCAUAAUCGACAUUGGUUUGUGUUAAUGGGUACCUUUAGAGUAGUCAUUCUCUUAAACUAUUUUUAGCAACACCCCUCCCCUUUUUAAAAACUAGUAUACGGCUACAUUUCUUUUAGAUACUAAAUCAGUGAGACAGUUUUUGUUUGUUCUUGCUAAUGGAGGUCAGAUUUUGAGAGUCCUUCUGAGCUUGGAUAACUCAUGAUUGG
This 1004-nucleotide small RNA is filed under the name Pan troglodytes (chimpanzee). RNAcentral's name for it is "processed transcript". Lineage: Eukaryota; Metazoa; Chordata; Mammalia; Primates; Hominidae. The record is from RNAcentral.